AGAGUUUGAUCCUGGCUCAGAUUGAACGCUGGCGGCGUGCUUAACACAUGCAAGUCGUGCGAGAAAGGGGACUUCGGUCCCUGAGUAGAGCGGCGCACGGGUGAGUAACGCGUGGAUAAUCUCCCCAGAAGUUCGGGAUAACGGCGGGAAACUGCCGCUAAUACCGGAUACGCUCCAAUUUCGGUUGGGGGAAAGGCGGCCUCUGUUUACAAGCUGUCGCUUCUGGAUGAGUCCGCGUCCCAUUAGCUUGUUGGUGGGGUAAUGGCCUACCAAGGCUACGAUGGGUAGCUGGUCUGAGAGGAUGAUCAGCCACACUGGAACUGAAACACGGUCCAGACUCCUACGGGAGGCAGCAGUGGGGAAUAUUGCGCAAUGGGGGAAACCCUGACGCAGCGACGCCGUGUGAGGGAUGAAGGCUUUCGGGUCGUAAA
Molecule: ribosomal RNA, 431 nt
Filed under: uncultured bacterium
Lineage: Bacteria
Description: bacterial SSU rRNA
Rfam family: Bacterial small subunit ribosomal RNA
Source: RNAcentral